UGCAUUAAAAUAGAAUUUACAUUUUUUUAUCUCAAAAACUAUGGGGUAACCCUACGAAAAUAUUUAAUUUUUCGGUAAAUCCUCUAUAUACUGAAGCGUGUGAUAUUUAGUGUAGUUUUAAAAAUUUUAAACACAUUCCACAUUUAUUAAUGUAUAUUAAACUCUAUUUAAUGUUACAUGGGCAUCGUUUAAAUGUUUUUUUCAAUUAAUUUAGUAAAACUUCAUAAUACUCCCUAAAUUGGUUGAC
RNAcentral lists this long non-coding RNA (247 nucleotides) under Brassica rapa (field mustard). RNAcentral describes it as "long non-coding RNA (BRAP_LNC005592)". The record is from RNAcentral. Lineage: Eukaryota; Viridiplantae; Streptophyta; Magnoliopsida; Brassicales; Brassicaceae.